UUGAACGUGCUUGCACGGACUUGACGUUGGUUUACCAGCGAGUGGCGGACGGGUGAGUAACACGUAGGUAACCUGCCCCAAAGCGGGGGAUAACAUUUGGAAACAGAUGCUAAUACCGCAUUAUAAUUUGAAUCGCAUGAUUCAAAUUUAAAAGAUGGCUUCGGCUAUCACUUUGGGAUGGACCUGCGGCGCAUUAGCUUGUUGGUAGGGUAACGGCCUACCAAGGCUGUGAUGCGUAGCCGAGUUGAGAGACUGAUCGGCCACAAUGGAACUGAGACACGGUCCAUACUCCUACGGGAGGCAGCAGUAGGGAAUCUUCCACAAUGGGCGCAAGCCUGAUGGAGCAACACCGCGUGAGUGAAGAAGGGUUUCGGCUCGUAAAGCUCUGUUGUUAGAGAAGAACGUGCGUGAGAGCAACUGUUCACGCAGUGACGGUAUCUAACCAGAAAGUCACGGCUAACUACGUGCCAGCAGCCGCGGUAAUACGUAGGUGGCAAGCGUUAUCCGGAUUUAUUGGGCGUAAAGCGAGCGCAGGCGGUUUGAUAAGUCUGAUGUGAAAGCCUUUGGCUUAACCAAAGAAGUGCAUCGGAAACUGUCAGACUUGAGUGCAGAAGAGGACAGUGGAACUCCAUGUGUAGCGGUGGAAUGCGUAGAUAUAUGGAAGAACACCAGUGGCGAAGGCGGCUGUCUGGUCUGCAACUGACGCUGAGGCUC
RNAcentral lists this ribosomal RNA (714 nucleotides) under uncultured Bacilli bacterium. RNAcentral's name for it is "bacterial SSU rRNA". It matches the Rfam family "Bacterial small subunit ribosomal RNA", at positions 49 to 754 of the family's 1533-position model. Lineage: Bacteria; Bacillati; Bacillota; Bacilli. The record is from RNAcentral.